This 262-nucleotide ribosomal RNA is filed under the name uncultured bacterium. Its description in RNAcentral is "partial 16S ribosomal RNA". It matches the Rfam family "Bacterial small subunit ribosomal RNA", at positions 9 to 274 of the family's 1533-position model. The record is from RNAcentral.
GAGUUUGAUCAUGGCUCAGAUUGAACGCUGGCGGCAGGCCUAACACAUGCAAGUCGAGCGGUAGAGAGAAGCUUGCUUCUCUUGAGAGCGGCGGACGGGUGAGUAAUGCCUAGGAAUCUGCCUGGUAGUGGGGAUAACGCUCGGAAACGGACGCUAAUACCGCAUACGUCCUACGGGAGAAAGCAGGGGACCUUCGGGCCUUGCGCUAUCAGAUGAGCCUAGGUCGGAUUAGCUAGUUGGUGAGGUAAUGGCUCACCAAGGC